GACAGAGGGUGCAAACGUUGUUCGGAAUUACUGGGCGUAAAGCGCGUGUAGGCGGCUAAGUAAGUCGGGCGUGAAAUCCCACGGCUCAACCGUGGAAGUGCACUCGAAACUGCAUAGCUAGAGUCCUGGAGAGGAAGGUGGAAUGCUUGGUGUAGAGGUGAAAUUCGUAGAUACUCGCAAGAACACCAGUGGCGAAGGCGGCUCACUGGCCCGAUACUGACGCUGAGGUGCGAAAGCGUGGGGAGCAAACAGG
This 253-nucleotide ribosomal RNA is filed under the name uncultured bacterium. Its description in RNAcentral is "partial 16S ribosomal RNA". It matches the Rfam family "Bacterial small subunit ribosomal RNA", at positions 524 to 776 of the family's 1533-position model. The record is from RNAcentral.